AUGGUUUUCAACAAGAAUCACUCAGAGGCUGUGGGAGUGACCCUAAACAGCACUAAGAGAACCCUAAUGUCCUAUGCUCAUGUGGCUUUUACAUUUAAUGACAUGAAGAAUGUGUGAACAUCCUUCAAAGGGACCAAGAUGGGCACCAUCUACCUUAUAUCUAUCUUAUCCCUUAAUGGGCCAUCUUUCUGUCUGAUGGGAAGAAUGAAAUCCUUCAUGAUGUCGCUUUAUCUGAUGAAGGACCAUGAGAUCAGGCAGCCAGUGUUUCAUGGGAACUUCAUUAAGAGAAUAGCGAUGGCCCAGGAUAGGGUCAGGGAAGGCUCCCCUACUUGUAAGUUGACCUCCACAGCGUGGGGUGCUAUUGAGUUUGGAAGGCAGAUGCCCCAGGUGGCAUCUCAAGCCUCCAGAGGUGAAGACCCUAAAUGUAGCCUAUGGGUAUUCUAACAUGCCCAGCAAAGGCUAUGCCUUUCCCCCACCAGUAGCCAAUGGAUGUGCCCUUGAAUACUCACAGCUUCCUUCAACAUGAGUUAUAUCUAGCCCAUUCCCCCAUGACAAAUUGGGUCAUAGAAUUUGUAAAAACCCUGCCUAUCCAGAGCCAGUGGAACCUCAAUAUCAGAGGCCCCGACAUCCUCUCCACUCCUGAAGCUGGGGCCAAGGCCACAAAAAUAGCUUCUAGUGUCUAUUACAACCCAGGCAACCAACAUAAUGUCUCCACGUACAUGAGCAGCCUCCACCACCAUCCCAGCACCCACAGAAGAUGAGAAGACC
RNAcentral lists this long non-coding RNA (768 nucleotides) under Mus musculus (house mouse). Its description in RNAcentral is "long non-coding RNA chr2:121049798-121050566". The record is from RNAcentral. Lineage: Eukaryota; Metazoa; Chordata; Mammalia; Rodentia; Muridae.